CAAUAAGAAAAUUCGGUCAUGAUUGUCAAUAAGGAGAUGUGGACAUGAUUGUCAAUAAGGAGAUUCGGUCCUGAUUGUACAUGUCAAUAAGGAGAUUCGGUCCUGAUUGUUAACAGACAUUUAGCUUGAAUAAAACAAGAUGGUGGGUAAACUGUACGCAAUUGAGAUAACAACCCGUCAUCAAAAUCGAGGUGACGACAA
This 201-nucleotide long non-coding RNA is filed under the name Mytilus galloprovincialis (Mediterranean mussel). Lineage: Eukaryota; Metazoa; Mollusca; Bivalvia; Mytilida; Mytilidae. The record is from RNAcentral.